RNAcentral lists this RNase P RNA (341 nucleotides) under Kiritimatiellaceae bacterium. Its description in RNAcentral is "RNase P RNA component class A". It matches the Rfam family "Bacterial RNase P class A". Rfam says of the family: Ribonuclease P (RNase P) is a ubiquitous endoribonuclease, found in archaea, bacteria and eukarya as well as chloroplasts and mitochondria. Its best characterised activity is the generation of mature 5'-ends of tRNAs by cleaving the 5'-leader elements of precursor-tRNAs. The record is from RNAcentral. Lineage: Bacteria; Pseudomonadati; Kiritimatiellota; Kiritimatiellia; Kiritimatiellales; Kiritimatiellaceae.
CAGACAGGGUGUAUCGGUCGCUCCGCUUAGGCGGGGAGGAAAGUCCGGACUCCAUAGGGCGGAACGUCCCGUGGUUAACGCGGGAAUUCGCGUGCGAUAUCGCGCGAAAUGGAAAGUGCCACAGAGAAUAGACCGCUUCGGCUUGCCGGAGUAAGGGUGAAACGGUGAGGUAAGAGCUCACCGCCCCAAGGGAGACCGAGGGGGCAGGGUAAACCCCGUUCGGAGCAAGAUCAAAUAGGAGACGUUGAGGCGGCCCGCCUCGGUAGCGUUUCGGGUUGAUCGCGUAGAUAAAUGACCGACCUGUAUAGGAACAGAAUCCGGCUUACCGCCCUGUCUGCUCU